RNAcentral lists this ribosomal RNA (1487 nucleotides) under uncultured bacterium. RNAcentral's name for it is "bacterial SSU rRNA". It matches the Rfam family "Bacterial small subunit ribosomal RNA". The record is from RNAcentral.
AGUUUGAUCCUGGCUCAGGAUGAACGCUGGCGGCGUGCUUAACACAUGCAAGUCGAACGUGAAGGCGUAGCAAUAUGCCUGAAAGUGGCGGACGGGUGAGUAACACGUGGGUGACCUGCCUCGUAGUGGGGGAUAACCAUGGGAAACUGUGGCUAAUACCGCAUGGUCCGUUUAGGAAGGGAUUCUAAGCGGUAAAGCUUUAGUGCUACGAGAGGGGCCUGCGGUCGAUUAGGUAGUUGGUGAGGUAACGGCUCACCAAGCCGAUGAUCGAUAGCUGGUCUGAGAGGACGAUCAGCCACACGGGUACUGAGAGACGGUCCCGACUCCUACGGGGGGCAGCAGUGAGGAAUAUUGGGCAAUGGGCGCAAGCCUGACCCAGCAACGCCGCGUGAAGGAUGAAGGCCCUUGGGUUGUAAACUUCUUUUAGGGGGAAGAGAGCGGACGGUACCCCCAGAAUAAGUCACGGCUAACUACGUGCCACAGCCGCGGUAAUACGUAGUUACAAGCGUUAUCCGGAAUUACUGGGCGUAAAGCGCACGCAGCGCGGCGUAAGUCUGACGUGAAAUCUCCCGGCUUAACUGGGAGGGGUCGUUUGGAAACUACUGGCUUGAGGCGAGGAGAGGGGUGUGGAAUUCCCGGUGUAUGGUGGAAUGCGUAAAUUUCGGGAGGAACCAUCAAUGGCAAAAGCGCACCCCUNGCCCUUGCCUGACGCUCAGGUGCGAAAGCGUUGGGGAAGCGAACGGGAUUAGAUACCCCGNCAGUUCCGCCCCGUAAACGAUGAACACUAGGUGUAGGUUGUUCUCAAAAUCAUUGUGCCGCAGCCAACGCGAUAAGUGUUCCGCCUGGGGAGUACGCCGCAAGGCUAAAACUCAAAGGAAUUGACGGGGGCCCGCACAAGCAGCGGAGCGUGUGGUUUAAUUCGAUGCGACGCGAAAAACCUUACCUGGGUUUGACAUGGGCGUAGUAGUGAAGCGAAAGCGGAACGACCCUUCGGGGAGCGUUCACAGGUGCUGCAUGGCUGUCGUCAGCUCGUGUCGUGAGAUGUUGGGUUAAGUCCCGCAACGAGCGCAACCCUCGUCGCUAGUUACACGUGUCUAGCGAUACUGCCGGUCUCAAACCGGAGGAAGGUGGGGAUGACGUCAAGUCAGCAUGGUCUUUAUAUCCAGGGCGACACACACGCUACAAUGGGCGGUACAAUGGGCAGCGAAGGGGCGACCUGGAGCGAAUCCCAUCAAAGCCGUUCGUAGUUCGGAUUGUAGGCUGCAACUCGCCUACAUGAAGCCGGAGUUGCUAGUAAACGCAGGUCAGCAUUACUGCGUUGAAUACGUUCCCGGGCCUUGUACACACCGCCCGUCACGUUCAUGGGAGUUGGUAACACUUGAAGUCGGUGACCCAACCGCAAGGAGGGAGCUGCCUAGGGUGGGGCUGAUGACUGGGACGAAGUCGUACAAGGUAGCCGUACCGGAAGGUGUGGCUGGAUCACCUCC